This 307-nucleotide ribosomal RNA is filed under the name Phyllocoptes gracilis. RNAcentral's name for it is "eukaryotic LSU rRNA". It matches the Rfam family "Eukaryotic large subunit ribosomal RNA", at positions 138 to 366 of the family's 3401-position model. Lineage: Eukaryota; Metazoa; Arthropoda; Arachnida; Trombidiformes; Eriophyidae. The record is from RNAcentral.
GUGAUAUCAUUGGUAGUAGUUGGNAACUGACUGCUACUCCUAGCCUAGCAUGCAAGUUCCAUUGACUUGGACUAAUUGCAUAUGACUGUGUGUUUGGGGCAACUUGAGCGCACGGUUGAGCCAGAGUGGGUGAAAGCCCUAUACCGUGCAGGCAUUGGUAUCACGAAUUGCAGAGGUGCCGCAAGGUUCCCAUUUUUUAGAGUCAAGUUGCUUGAGGGUGCAACUUUAAGUGCGAGGUAAACUACUCGUAAGGCUAUGCAAUACGGCUACGACACCGAUAGCAAACAAGUACCGUGAGGGAAAGUUG